RNAcentral lists this ribosomal RNA (253 nucleotides) under uncultured bacterium. Its description in RNAcentral is "partial 16S ribosomal RNA". It matches the Rfam family "Bacterial small subunit ribosomal RNA", at positions 524 to 776 of the family's 1533-position model. The record is from RNAcentral.
UACGUAGGGUGCAAGCGUUGUCCGGAAUUAUUGGGCGUAAAGAGCUCGUAGGCGGUUUGUCGCGUCUGCUGUGAAAACUCGGGGCUUAACUCCGGGCCUGCAGUGGGUACGGGCAGACUAGAGUGCGGUAGGGGAGACUGGAAUUCCUGGUGUAGCGGUGAAAUGCGCAGAUAUCAGGAGGAACACCGGUGGCGAAGGCGGGUCUCUGGGCCGUAACUGACGCUGAGGCGCGAAAGCGUGGGGAGCGAACGGG